This 253-nucleotide ribosomal RNA is filed under the name uncultured bacterium. Its description in RNAcentral is "partial 16S ribosomal RNA". It matches the Rfam family "Bacterial small subunit ribosomal RNA", at positions 524 to 776 of the family's 1533-position model. The record is from RNAcentral.
UACGAAGGGGGCGAGCGUUAUUCGGAAUCACUGGGCGUAAAGCGUGCGUAGGCUGUUCUGCAAGUCAGGAGUGAAAGCCCAAGGCUCAACCUUGGAAGCGCUCUUGAAACUGCAGGACUAGAAUUUGGGAGAGGAUAGCGGAAUUGUCAGUGUAGCAGUGAAAUGCGUAGAUAUUGACAGGAACACCAGUGGCGCAAGCGGCUAUCUGGACCAGCAUUGACGCUGAGGCACGAAAGCGUGGGGAUCAAACAGG